GAUUUUUCCCUGACCCCUGCCAACCCUAGCUGCCGCACAAACGCCAAUCGCCGCCGGCUGUCGAUCGCUUCCCCGCGUCCCCUCGUGUGUCCUUCGCCUCCCUCUGCUCGAGGCCUCCCCAUCUCGCGCUGCCAAGAGCGACUCCUGGUCUCAGCAGCCGCCCUCACCUCCCUCUCUCUCCAACCAGCCCCGCUCUCCUCUCGCAUCACACAGGCGGCGGCUCAACAUAUGAUGCCGGGUGUGGCGUAUGUGGCAUCUGUGUUGUGCUUCCGCCGGCUGGUUGUGUGUGAUGUGUGCGGCUGGAUGUGCAUCCGUGUUUAUGUGUGUGGCCUUCUACAGGCAGAGGAAGUCGAUGGUUGCAGGCAGAGGAAGCUGCUGGUUGCUGGCAGAGGAGGAUUAUGAUAGUUCCCUUGCUCUUUGCCAGAAAAAUUGAUAGUUCUCUUGAUUUGUUCUGGUCUGGAUUAGUACAAAAUUGCACUGAUAUUUGUUUUGUGGUGCGGGAGUUUCAAGACAACAGGUUUAGCAGGGAUCAAUUGCAACCUUCGUUUAUCUUCUGUUAUGUGAACCAAUUUGUGAUGGCUUCUAAAAGCACAUGGCUGGUACAGAGCAAUUUUUACACCAGAGCCGUCGUCUCCGUCGACUUCGCCGCAAGACAAUCUGCCAUCGCCUCCGCCGACUUUGACGUAAGAUCAUCAGCCGUCGCCUGGACGUACUUUGGCGCAGGAACCUGAAGGAAAGCGGCAACAAAAGCAAGAUCCAAAGGCGCAGUCGUGCAAGGUCGAACCAUCCAUAAAGAUCCUCUUCCUGCAGCUAUGAAAACUGUGGCAAGACCUUUGUUAAUGUGGCUGCCUUGAGGAAGCAUGCUCAUGUACAUGGCGAGAGAGGCAAUAUGUUUUUUCAGGAGCCUGGCUAUUUGAAGGUACCUCUAGCAAAUAUUCAUACCUCACACCUUUACCAAUGCAUACACUAACCGGUGGUGAACUUUCGUGUUUAUUAGCAUUGACAAACUUUUCAGUAAUUUCAUGGUUUAUUUUGACGGACCUUUCUCUAUUGUUCAUAGUUGAUAUUGAUAUAUCCAUCCAUCCAAUCCACGAUGAGUGUUAAUUGAUUAAUCCUGCACAACCAAUAAUUCAGUUAAUUUAAUCCUACUAGAUAUAUACUCCAUCCAAUUCACUGUGAGAAUUUUAAGAACCCAUAGGCAUCAAAGUCUUGGUCUUUUUUCCUGUCCAUGUGUAGGCACAAACAGUGCUCCAGCUCGGUCGGAUUAGAUAUAAGUUUGGUCUCUGCCCGAGCUCCAAUUGCUGCUUGGAUUUCCUUUUUUUUCCUCUCAUGCAACCGCAGAUACCAUCUGACGCCUUUUCUUUUCGUGAUUGAAUAGUGCUAAUAGAUUUCAUCAUAUGACUAUUGUUUUUCGGUUAGGGGCCUGUUAUAUUUUUUUCAGCUUGACGAUGCCGUGGUCGCCCCACCGAUCAAAUCCCCGCACACACGCAACAACUCAACUCUACGGUUUGUACACCACCACCGCUUGAGCAGCCUGGCGAACGAUUUAGGUUGGUUCUCUUGCUUUUUACCAUGGUAACUUUGUAAACAUCAGAAGGCCUAAAUUUGGCAGCACACUCACUCGCUCAACAAUGAGCACUGGAGUCUAAAGCUUUGCUAUUGGCUGAAGAACAUCAAGGUCUUCAUUACAUGAUUAUUAGUUUCUUAAAUAUUUGUAUAACAUCAGAGUACUUUUUAGUUACAGAUUUGGCAAUACCCAGGACAUUAUUCUCCAGUCCAACUAUUGGCUUUCAAGGUGGCAGUGUGAGACAUUGUCGCUAUCACAGGAUCAUGUGGCAACGUAUUUGGUUUUUUGUUGAAAUAUGAUGGAGAUGGCUCUUUUGUAGUUAGAUGUGACUGCCACUCUCAUACCAAAUACUUUGAUGAUGAUACCUACUGGCGGGGAGGGGGGGGGGGGGGGGGGGGGUUUGAAAAUGCAGUUGUUGCAAACAUGAGUGAAGAUGACUGUACGUGGCAUAUGUAUGAUAUAGUCAAAGAAAGUGAUUGGCAUGGCAAGUUUACGUGAGAAACAGUUAAAGAAAUUGCAUGGAAGAUGUUUCAAGAGUAAAGUAAAUGUGUGAGAGAAGAUUGAUGAGCACCAAUAUUAUAUAGUGUAUCAUACUUUUAUAUAUUUGGCAUAAAGAAAAUACUUUGUUCC
Molecule: non-coding RNA, 2197 nt
Organism: Triticum urartu
Lineage: Eukaryota; Viridiplantae; Streptophyta; Magnoliopsida; Poales; Poaceae
Source: RefSeq, a predicted model, not a curated record